Long non-coding RNA from Lynx canadensis (Canada lynx), 2195 nucleotides. RefSeq lists it as uncharacterized. The transcript is spliced from 5 exons. The record is from RefSeq and is a predicted model, not a curated record. NCBI's taxonomy places the organism in Eukaryota, Metazoa, Chordata, Mammalia, Carnivora, Felidae.
CCUGCGGGCCCCGGCGUGCGGUCUGCCGGAGGGCGUCCUGACGGCGCCUCCACCGCGGCGAGUCCGGGCCGUGGCCGGCGGUGGGAAGCAGGCGAGGCGCGCCCGAGGAGAGGGGACGGUGAAGGAAGAAGCUCCAGGGACGUGGGACAAUGGCCGAGAAAAGUAGCGCGAGCUGUCGGGGGAAAUCGGAGGGAAGGGACUGCGUGCGCACCUGACUGCGUCCUGGGGCAGGGGGCCGAGGGCAGCGCGUGCUUUACCCUUUUAAAGGUUCACCGCAUUUCCCGCCCAAGUUUAAGCAAGGCGAGAGAAAAAACCAAAUAUACAUUCAUGUGUGUAUAUACACUUUUGUGUCGACAGUUUUAUUUCUGGGAACCCAAUUUGAAGGAAUUUUGUUGAUUUUAUUGCCGUUUAAACAAGAGUAGAGAAGCCCACCAUCUGAAUGCAGCGUUGGCUAAAGGUCAGCGGGAGACCCUGUCCUGGCCCCAUCAGUUAGCAGUCUCCACUGCAGACUGGGUGGAAAGGCAAAAGGUCGUGGAAAAUGUGAAGGCACACGAAGUCCGGGAUUCAAAACAGCAGACAUUAACCAUGGCACUAGAUGGUUGAGUGACAUGGUCACCAGGCCAGACUCCACAUCAGCACUUUUGCGUGUCUGAAGAUGAUUGAGAAAUGCCAAAACAACCUUGUAUCCCAAGGUAAGUUCUACUUGGUCAUUGUCUCAUGCUGCUGGAUUUGAUUUCCUUGUUUAUGUUCAUGUGGCAUAAUGUGAUGACUUUGGCCUCAACGAGCUUGGAAGUGGAUUCUUUUCCAAAGCCUCUAGUUAGAAGCCUGGUCCAGCUAAUGCCUUGAUUUGAGCCAUGUGACACACUGAGCAAGAGAGCCCUGUUGAGUCUGCCUGGACUUCUGACCUACAAGAAGUGUGAAGAUUGAGUGGCCUCUGUGAAACUAGCCGCAAGGUAUUCUGGCACCGUACGGGCCACUACAGCUCAAAUGAGGUGUCUGUCUUGAUGAAGGGACAGCUGCAGCUGGCUCUGGUCUUCCCCUUUCUUCUGCCCCGAUUGGGCACGAUGCCUGGAAUAGGAGCUGCCAUCUUGCAACCAGGAAGGAGAGGCCAAGAGAAUCGCAGCAAUGCUGGCUCCGGACCUCAGGAGCUGCUGAACAAAUGCUAACGGCUCCCUGCUGCAGACCUCGUGUUCUAUGAAAAACUGAAAACUCGUUUGUUCAUUAUGCUCACUUAUAGCUGAAAGCCUUCCUAACCAAGACAACUAGUAUACAUUCUUGCCGUGGACAGUGGGGGUGGGGGGGGCUAAGGAUUUUCCAAGUCCAGUCAAUUCAUCAGAAUUUGUAGAAGCUUGUUCUCAAAAGCACGGGAGGUAUCGAGUCCCGCUGGGGUCAGGUCAAAACGACACAGAGGCCGACUAGAGGAGACCUCACUGGCCAAGGAGGGGGACAAUUUGAACAUUGGAAAACAAUGUCCACACGGGAUCAAAUUGAGUUAAGAGUGGACAAAGGCACUUAUCCAAGCACUUACCUUGCCCUUCUGGUAUGAACUGUAUUUCAGAGCAACCAAAGAGGUAAUAAGGAGUUCUUUAGAGAAGAAUUCCAGUUACUACAGGCAGAAGGAAUGAUACAGUUAGAAAACCCCCACGCGGGAACACAUGAUGAAACAAGGAAUCCAGGCAGCCGCCGUCAGGAAGUAUUAGGUGAGAGGUCGACAGGGAACCUUCGGAUGGACCACACUGAUGACACCUGAACCCACUGAUCGAUUUUUACAUCUCUAAACGUGGGACAGUCAGACGUCACGUACCUCGUGAUGUGAUACGUCAGAAAGUCCACAGCAUCUGUCGAUCUAAUCCAGCUUGCAGUAAAUACAAGGACAGGCUGAAUGACACGAGGAGGAAACCGUCAGCCAAGUCCACAAGGUAGGAUAUUACACUGGACAGAGACUCAUUCCUCCCCUUCCUCAAGUAAAUGGCAUGAAAACAGGGAGGGGAGAAGAACUUACAGAGUAAAAGAGACUUAAGUGUUCUUUCGAUCGAAUAUGAUGUGUAGAUCUUACUUGGAUCCUAGUUUGAAUGAGAUAACUAUAAAAAUACUAUUGGAGCUUAGGAAAAUUUGAUAUGUUCUGGGUAUUACCUCACAUGAUAACUGCAUUCUGGGUUUGUUUUUUUUUUUUAAUGCUUAUUUUUGUGAGAGAG